GCGCCUUUAACAUAAUGGUAGUGUAACUGUCUUCGAAAUAGUUAGUAUUGGUUCGAUUCCAGUAGGGCGUU
This 71-nucleotide transfer RNA is filed under the name Enterococcus sp. Its description in RNAcentral is "tRNA-Arg". It matches the Rfam family "tRNA". Rfam says of the family: Transfer RNA (tRNA) molecules are approximately 80 nucleotides in length. The record is from RNAcentral. Lineage: Bacteria; Bacillati; Bacillota; Bacilli; Lactobacillales; Enterococcaceae.